CCGUGCUAAGCGGGGAGGUAGCGGUGCCCUGUACUCGCAAUCCGCUCGAGCGAGGCCGAAUUCCUUUUAGAGGUUUACCUAUUGUAGGGUCUGACCUUAGUAAGUGGUGUUGACGUCUGGGUCCUGCGCAACGAGAUCCCACGAACCCUGUCAGGUCCGGAAGGAAGCAGCAGUAAGUGGACAAUCUCGUGUGCCGCGGGGGCGCCUGGACCGAGCUAACUGCUAAGGUAACGCCUAUGAUAGUAAAUCGACGAAAGGUGCACGG
Molecule: signal recognition particle RNA, 265 nt
Filed under: Bacillus sp. BGMRC 2118
Lineage: Bacteria; Bacillati; Bacillota; Bacilli; Caryophanales; Bacillaceae
Description: signal recognition particle sRNA large type
Rfam family: Bacterial large signal recognition particle RNA
About the family: The signal recognition particle (SRP) is a universally conserved ribonucleoprotein involved in the co-translational targeting of proteins to membranes. Archaeal SRP consists of a 7S RNA and homologues of the eukaryotic SRP19 and SRP54 proteins.
Source: RNAcentral